UUUGCUGAAAAGUGACGCGGUUUAGAGAUAAAAUGUGGAUUAGAAAUAACCUGCGUGGAGUAAACAAUGCCAUACGAUUAUCUGGAGCUAAAUUUGCGGUUUAGUGUGCCAUACAUCAUGGGAAUGGAAUGCGUCUGUACUAUAUUACGAUAAAAGUUAUACUUAUACAUGCAGACAUAAUUUCACGCCUGUAAUCCCCCUAAAGGAGUGAGGCUUGAGAGUUAAAAGUAAAAAGACACCUCUCAGUCACUAUUACCUACUACUCACUAGAUACGAAAACGUCAGAUGGAUAUAUAGCUAAGGUCUGAGGGGUGCCACCAUGAGGUCUCGCACCACCUAAAUAUUUUGCUAGGGCCGCCACUGCAGGGUCCUGAUAGACAUCAGUUAUGGUCUAUCAGGG
Pectinophora gossypiella (pink bollworm) is the source of this 400-nucleotide long non-coding RNA. RefSeq lists it as uncharacterized. Lineage: Eukaryota; Metazoa; Arthropoda; Insecta; Lepidoptera; Gelechiidae. The record is from RefSeq and is a predicted model, not a curated record. The transcript has 3 exons.